AGAAGAACAAAGCAGCUGUUGUCACUGCCCCACAGAACCUGGACCUGAGAUCGGACUUAGCAAAUGGUCAGCCUUCCCACUGCAGAAAGAUGCUCUAUUCCAGCAAAACAUCACAAUUUUAUGGCGCUGAAAUGCCAGAAGGAUUUGGAGUGACUUUCACCAAGCCACCUGAAAAGUAGGCUGAAAGAUGGCAAACCGAACAAAGAUAGAAGUGGCCUGGGUCUGACAUGCACCUCACCAAGGAGAAGCCAUGCUCCAGUGGCUGGAGAAGUUCACUGCCAUUUUCACCUUCACAGACUACACCAUAUAUAGAAAUACUGAAAGAUGUGCUUUUCUAAUUAUAUUAGCAAAGGCAUGGCUGUCCCACAGAUGAAAUUGUGUAGUGACAUAUUAAUUAAUUUCUCACAUAUUCAGUCUGAGCCUUCAAGGAUGAAAGAACAGCUCCUGAAAGUGCCACCACUUAUACACAAAGAGACAAUCAAAAAUAUAUAUUUUUUGUUUUUCAGUAUCUAGCAUGCUCAGCACAUUGCUAUUCAAUACUAUGUUCCACCUGUCAUUCAUAAAUUACUUCAGCUAUAUUCCCUCCUUUAAUGAUAGGAGCACACUCCUUAACAAAAGCUGGCUGUCUAAACAGUGUAUUCCAUUUUGAAUCAAUUAAUUUUAUGUGUACAUCUAGACCCACUAUAAAAUAUAUGUGGAAUAAUUGUCUACUGGAGUAGAGUUUAUGCUUAACACCCAAAGUAAUUAAAACUACAUGAGGACAAUUUUGACAGUGUACUUUAUCAUUAGGACUUAUUUUCCCAUCAUACCCUCCAGAGGGCAAUUUGAUGACCAUGUAAACAAUUAAUCAUGUAUGAAUGAACAAUGAAAGCAUUUUCAGCAGUCCAGAGAUUUCAUUUCCUUAGCAAACACAUUGGUACAUAGCAACAGCAGCAUUACUGCCAGUGCCACCAAUGUGGUGUAGGAGGCUCCAGUUGGUAGAGGAGCAGAGGAAUCCUGCUCCUUUUGCUCUCCAGAGAGCUCCAGCCUGCUCUGAUCUGGCCAUCUGAACUGAGGACCAGAAGUGGUGAGUUGUGCCAUGCAACACAAGUUGCUACCAGACACCCACGUUAUGAAGAUUAAUGGACACAAGUCAGGACAACGAUGUGCUGUGGAUGUAGGUCUUGUUGCACGUCCGGUAACACAGCUGCAGCAUCAUGUAGUGUUGGUGGAGGUAUUUCAGCAUGCAAUAAAUCUGCCAGAGAUGUAUAGCCAUAUGCAGGAACCUGAUCCUCCACAGAAUUCGGAUGACUGUGUAGCAGUCCUCCCUCUGUGAUAAGAGAAAUCUCUUGUACUGCAGCCAGAGCACAGAGAUUUCGGUCCUGGACUAUCUAACCUUGACCAAAACCUGUCCUGGCUUUGGGGAAGCAAAUCCCAGUACCCUCAAUCAAGUUUCUCCCAUUCCUGUCAUUGUUACAGAAGCAUUGAAGGGAGGUAAAGAGGGAACAGGUCCCUAGAGAGCCUGGGAUAAACACAGCCAUAAUAACAGAGAAAAAGUCCUUGGAGAGAGUUGUGCAGAAAUUCACACAUUUCAUCCCUGAAGGUGUAUACUGGAAACUCCUGAGUAUUAUGAGAAGAAAGAAGAAGAUUGGUGACUAUUAUUGAAUUUCAAGAAAAAAUGAGUAGAGAUAUGCAGAAAUACAGUCUUUUUCAAGGAAAUGUAAUUAUCCAGUAUAAUUAUCUUUUCAAUAGCAGAAGUUCACAAAGUUACAAUGGGCAACUGCUUAUUAAAAAGUGGAUGCCUGAAUCCAUGCAUCUAAAUAAACAACUUGUUCCUAGAAUUCCUGGGUGCACAGCUCUUCAGACAGCCAGA
Anas platyrhynchos (mallard) is the source of this 1852-nucleotide long non-coding RNA. RefSeq lists it as uncharacterized. The record is from RefSeq and is a predicted model, not a curated record. NCBI's taxonomy places the organism in Eukaryota, Metazoa, Chordata, Aves, Anseriformes, Anatidae.